RNAcentral lists this ribosomal RNA (175 nucleotides) under Oliotius oligolepis (checkered barb). RNAcentral's name for it is "partial 12S rRNA". The record is from RNAcentral. Lineage: Eukaryota; Metazoa; Chordata; Actinopteri; Cypriniformes; Cyprinidae.
CACCGCGGUUAGACGAGAGGCCCUAGUUGAUAAAAUCACGGCGUAAAGAGUGGUUAAGGGAACAUAAAAAUAAAGCCGAAUGGCCCCCUGGCCGUCAUACGCUUCCAGGCGUCCGAAGCCCCUACUACACGAAAGUAGCUUUAAAAACUAACCUGACCCCACGAAAGCUGAGAAA